CUUGCAGGGCGGCGACCACGAGUUACCUGCCCCUAUACAAUGAGUUAAUUGCCCCUGUAUUUCAUCUGUUAAGUUGUACUUAAAAUAGGCUAACUCUUGCGCAAAAAAAGAUAGAAAAUAUCAAAUAUGGGAAAGCGGGACGAUAGACCAAACAUAUCUACGAAGAGACCAUUGGUGCCGGAAAUAUCUCUGUCUUUAGUAGUGUCCGCGAGGUAUAUUAAUUUAUAAAACAUGAGAUAUUAGUACCAUAUUGCCCGGGAAUCAAAAGAUUUUUGCAAGAUCGAUUCAAGAAACGGACUCUAUCUGGAAAAGGAAAACAAUAUCAAAGCUCCUCUGUGAGAAGUUGGCCAAGGAAAGCAUUCAGAAGAAAGUGGAGAUUCAUUGUUUUUACCAGAUCCAGUAGAUCACAGAAAGCAUCUAGUAGGGGAGGUCUACAGAUCGAAGCAUGCCAAAUGUGUAAAGAACAAGGUACGAUUGUAUACAUAAAAAGGCCCAAAAAUUUUCUCUCAAUAAAAUGUGUCUGGAAUUAACCUUAAUAAGCGU
Long non-coding RNA from Ostrea edulis (European flat oyster), 543 nucleotides. RefSeq lists it as uncharacterized. Lineage: Eukaryota; Metazoa; Mollusca; Bivalvia; Ostreida; Ostreidae. The transcript is spliced from 3 exons. The record is from RefSeq and is a predicted model, not a curated record.